Molecule: ribosomal RNA, 253 nt
Filed under: uncultured bacterium
Lineage: Bacteria
Description: partial 16S ribosomal RNA
Rfam family: Bacterial small subunit ribosomal RNA
Source: RNAcentral
GACAGAGGGUGCAAACGUUGUUCGGAAUUACUGGGCGUAAAGCGCAUGUAGGCGGCCGCGCAGGUCGGAUGUGAAAUCCCUCGGCUCAACCGAGGACGUGCAUUCGAAACCGCGCGGCUCGAGUCCCGGAGAGGGUGGUGGAAUUCUCGGCGUAGAGGUGAAAUUCGUAGAUAUCGGGAGGAACACCGGCGGCGAAAGCGGCCACCUGGACGAGGACUGACGCUGAGAUGCGAAAGCGUGGGGAGCAAACAGG